Long non-coding RNA from Nicotiana tabacum (common tobacco), 3370 nucleotides. RefSeq lists it as uncharacterized. Lineage: Eukaryota; Viridiplantae; Streptophyta; Magnoliopsida; Solanales; Solanaceae. The record is from RefSeq and is a predicted model, not a curated record.
CUGCCCAACGCCCCAAGCCCCAACCUAGUAUCAGUUUCCCUAAUUCCCUUGGUCCUUUCCCUCAUUUCUAUUUCCUAAAUUCUAACCCUAGGUUUCUCUCAAAAUUCAAAAAGCAACAAGCCACAACUUCACAUAUGCCGAUAGCCCGACACCAACAGCCACACCCUUCAUUUCCGAUCUGCUCCUAAACGACCUCGCCGGCGGCGACUGCUUGUUUCCUCAUUUUUUACCUUCAUUCUUCGAUCUUAAGUCUUCAACAGGUUCACAACUUCUUCAUUCUUCAAUCUUUAGUUUUCAUCAUUGAAUCAAUUUAGCAUUAAUUUUUCGAUCGUCUACUCCGGCGGAAUAGUAUUUUAUAAUGUUUCUGAUUCUUUCUGGUUGGCCGGUGGUUUCGAUUUUUUCAUUCCAUAGCAAUAAUACAUUCAAUGCUGUAAUACACCAAUAUGUUAGGACUUUAUCAGUAAGGAGAUCCAUACAUUUUGAGUCUUAAAGGUUUCAACCGUUUCAUACUCUCACAGUACUCUGUAGAUAUUCAUUUGUGUUUGCAAUCUGUGUUAUCUGUGUUAGUUUGCCCAACCAAUGCAAAAAUUGUUCCAUUUUUUUAUUGAAUUAAGAUGCAAUUGACAUGUCUGCAGCUAUGUUUAACUUCUCUUGAUAGCUUAUUUAUAGUAGUCCAAACCAAAUGCAGCCGUAGUCUGUAGAUAAUCAUGCUAUUUGUUCGUUUGUUCAUCAUUGAAAUAGUCGACUGCUUGAUUUGUUCGUUUGUUCUUAUUUUCCUCUAGCGUUUCUAGUCUCAAUUUGUGUUUGUAUCUAUUUUAAUUUUGUAUAGAUGGCGGAUGAAAGUAGAGUAAGCGAUGCUGAUUUAACUGAAAACUUACCUAUUACUGAAGAUAGCAAUGCCAACAUAAUUGAUACUCAAGAUUCUAAGAAAAGAAAAGCCUUAGACUCUAGAUCCAUGGUUUUGAAUCAUUUUGAUAAAUUUGAGGAAAAUGGGAUCAGUGAAACGAGGUGUAGAUAUUAUAAGCAAUCUUAUGUUCCUAAUUCAUCUAGGAAUGGAACAACAUGAUUGGAAAAUCAUUUGACUAGAUGCAAAGAAUACCCACCUAACAUUGAUAAAGAUAAUACUCAAAUAAUCAUAUCCUUUCAAUCUUUCCAAAAGGAUAGAGGAUCGCUCUAGAAAUUUGAUCAAGAAGUGGUUAGGAUGGCUUUAAUUGAGAUGAUAGUUAUUGAUGAAUUACCAUUUAACUUUGUAGAAAAAGAAGGCUUUAUGAAGUUUAUGAGAAUAGCUCAACCACUAUUUCGUUUUCCUUCUCGUAGAACAAGAACAAGGAAGGGAAUGUUAUGAAGUUUACGAUGAAUUGAAGCAAAAUCUAAGAAGGUCUUUUAGAGAAGCACAACUAAAAAUUUUCCUCACAACAGACACAUGGACUUCAUUGCAAAGAAUAAAUUAUAUGUGUUUGACAGCCCACUUCAUUGAUAGGGAUUGAAAGUUGCAGAAAAGAAUACUAAAUUUUUGCCCUAUCACUAGUCCAAAGGGUGAAGAGAUGGUUAAAGCUAUUUGUAAUUGUUUGCUUGAUUGGUAAUUAGACAAGGUGUUCGCUAUUACUGUGGACAAUGCUUUUUCAAAUGAUGUCACAAUCAAAGAAUUGUCUAAAAAGUUAGAUAUGUGGAAAACUAAUAUGAUGAGUGGUAAGCAUCUUCAUGUGAGAUGCAUGGCUCGCAUACUUAAUCUAAUUGUGCAAGAUGGUUUGAAAGAAAUUGAUGCUUCUGUCACACUGUUAGAAAUACUGUGAGGUAUGUGAGAUCAUCACCUGCAAGGACUUUAAAGUUUAAAUAAUGUUGUGCACAUGUAAAGGUAGAAUGUACCAAAAUAUUGUGUUUGGAUUUUCCUACUAGGUGGAAUUCCACCUAUUUGAUAUUGCAUGUUGGAUACGACGCUAAACUUUGAAAAGGCCUUUGACAAGUUUCAUCUUUUUGAUGAUGAAUUUUCUACUUAUAUUUGUUCUCAUCUUUGUGAAGACAGUAGUAGUGCAGGUCCUCUUGAAUCUGAUGAUUAGGUGAAUGUGAGGAAUGUGAUAAAGUUUCUUGCAAGAUUUUACGAGGUCACCAAAAAAGUUUCAAGUUCACGUUAUGUCACUUGUAAUCACUUGUAAUGCUCAUUUUGAGGAUGUAUAUGAACUUUAUUGUCAUUUGAAAAUGUGUUUAACUAGUGAGGAUGAGAAUUUGAGAAAAAUGGCUGAGCGGAUGAGCAUGAAAAGAUGAAUAAAAUAAUUUUUAUUGCUUCCAUCAUGGAUCCACGUAACAAGUUUGAAUAUGUUAGCCUUGCACUUGAUGAACUUUUUGGGGAGGAAAAAGGGAAGAAAAUAAAAGAUGAGGGGUAUGUUUAUAUGAAUUCUUUGUUUGAAGAGUAUCUAAAAAGGUAUCAACAAGAUCUUGUCCUUAAUCUCCAUCUAGAUCUACUUCAUAUGAUAACACAUCUAAUACAUCUAGUGAGAGUGUUAUAACUACAUCAUUAAGGAUGAAGCUUUACUUGAAGAAACAAAAGGAAGACAAUGGAAGUGGGGGUGCUAAAUCGGAGUUGGAUAAAUACGUUAGUAAAGAACAAGAGCCUUAUAUGUUGAUAUCUUAAGUUGGUGAAAAAUACAUGCUCCUAGAUUUUCUAUUCUUUCAGAGCUGGCUCGUGAUGUGUUAGCCAUUCCAAUUUCUAGUGUGGUGUCGGAAUGUGCGUUUAGCACCAGUGGCCGUAUUCUUGAUUCAUUUAAGAGUUCAUUGACUCCUAAAUGCGUGCAAGCUUUUGUUUGUGUUCAAGAUUGGCUUACAGAAGAGAAGAAUCCUAUUAGUGUUGAAGAAGAGUGGGAGUAUCUCGAGGAACUCGAACUUGAUAUGGAAAAUAAUGGAAGCACUACUAGCAUUGUUGAUGUAUUGUUGCAACUUGAGUAGUUCAAGUUCAAUCAUGCACCGUGCUCCUAAAGUGCGCUCACAUAUUUGGGAACAUUUUGAGGAGGUAGGAGUUGACGAAGAAGUUCGCAAAGUAGAGUGCAAGCACUGUGGUCGAGUCUUUAAUGUUCAUCAAAAGAGGGAUGACACAUGAUUUAAGGAAGCAUAUCAAGAGUUGUCUUGAGCGUCUUCCAGAAAUUCGUAUUAAGUUGAUUUGAGAUAAUUUGUAUUAUUUUGAAUUUGUUAAGACUUAUUUAAGCUUAAUGUGUUAGUUUAUUAGACAAUUUGCUCUUAUUGGCGGUAGUAAGCAUUAGCACUUGACUACGUUGUUGGCUUGUGCCUAUUCUUGAGCAACUCUCCUGUAUUUUCGAGUCUUGAGUCUUACCGCUGCUUUGUUCACAAUGACUUGGUAAUUGGUAUGAUAUUGAAACUA